AGAAAUGAGAGGGGCCAAACUAUGAUAGUCAUGAGCUAGGGUAAGUUUAGUGCUACCUCUUUGUUUUAUUUAUUUUCUUUGUAAUUGAAGAGUAAUGGAUAGUUUGUGAAUACUGUGAAGUAAAUCGAUGGAAUAAAUCAGAGAUUGAUUUAUGAGAUAUUGAGUAUGUAAUUGGAGUAUUGUGUGAUUGAAUUAUUAUGAGAAGAUAUUGGAAGUUUGUUAUCAGAUUCUAUCGAAGAUUGAUUUUAGAUGGAAGAUUAUGAUUGUUGUUAAUUGAAAGUUGUGUGUGUUUUGACAGAAGAAGUUUGUGCUUAUAAAAAUUAUUUGAAGCAAGAUUGAUUAGAGAAAAAGAUUGUUAUUUCUAAUAUUGGAUGGAAUUUAUAUAUUUUGAGUGGUCUUUUGAAAGUACAGGAUUGCACAUUGUUGUUAUCAAUUUGUGAAGGAGUAUUAUUAGUAGGAGAAAGCAUUGUAAUAUUCUUUGGUAUUUUAGUGGUUCGGAAUACGAUUAAUUGUGUGAUCCUAACAUGUAAGCUCAUGCGAUUAGUCUUUUCUUAUGUU
This 558-nucleotide long non-coding RNA is filed under the name Physcomitrium patens. RNAcentral describes it as "long non-coding RNA (PPAT_LNC014407)". The record is from RNAcentral. Lineage: Eukaryota; Viridiplantae; Streptophyta; Bryopsida; Funariales; Funariaceae.